This 220-nucleotide long non-coding RNA is filed under the name Gallus gallus (chicken). The record is from RNAcentral. Lineage: Eukaryota; Metazoa; Chordata; Aves; Galliformes; Phasianidae.
GUGUGCAUCCAGGAUGCGGCCGUCGUAGUCGAUGACCACUGUGUCACCCUGUUCCCCUUUCGGGCCAGGGGGACCCCGGGGUCCGAUGGAGCCGACUCCUCCCUUCUCACCGGGUUCACCCUUGGGUCCUGGCGCGCCGUCCGUGCCAUUCUCUCCCUUCAGACCCGUGCUUCCCUUUUCUCCCUUAGGGCCUGAAAGUCCUGGUUCCCCUGGGAUGCCA